Molecule: ribosomal RNA, 638 nt
Filed under: uncultured bacterium
Lineage: Bacteria
Description: bacterial SSU rRNA
Rfam family: Bacterial small subunit ribosomal RNA
Source: RNAcentral
AACGCGUAUCCAACCUUCCGUACACUCAGGGAUAGCCUUUCGAAAGAAAGAUUAAUACCUGAUGGUAUGAUGAGAUUGCAUGAUAGCAUCAUUAAAGAUUUAUCGGUGUACGAUGGGGAUGCGUUCCAUUAGGUAGUAGGCGGGGUAACGGCCCACCUAGCCAACGAUGGAUAGGGGUUCUGAGAGGAAGGUCCCCCACAUUGGAACUGAGACACGGUCCAAACUCCUACGGGAGGCAGCAGUGAGGAAUAUUGGUCAAUGGACGAGAGUCUGAACCAGCCAAGUAGCGUGAAGGAUGAAGGUCCUACGGAUUGUAAACUUCUUUUAUAAGGGAAUAAACCCUCCCACGUGUGGGAGCUUGUAUGUACCUUAUGAAUAAGCAUCGGCUAACUCCGUGCCAGCAGCCGCGGUAAUACGGAGGAUGCGAGCGUUAUCCGGAUUUAUUGGGUUUAAAGGGAGCGCAGACGGGUCGUUAAGUCAGCUGUGAAAGUUUGGGGCUCAACCUUAAAAUUGCAGUUGAUACUGGCGUCCUUGAGUGCGGUUGAGGUGUGCGGAAUUCGUGGUGUAGCGGUGAAAUGCUUAGAUAUCACGAAGAACUCCGAUUGCGAAGGCAGCACACUAAUCCGUAACUGACGUUC